CCUACGGGUGGCUGCAGUGAGGAAUAUUGGUCAAUGGGCGCGAGCCUGAACCAGCAAAGUAGCGUGAAGGAUGACUGCCCUACGGGUUGUAAACUUCUUUUAUAAAGGAAUAAAGUGAGGCACGUGAGCAUUUUUGUAUGUACUUUAUGAAUAAGGAUCGGCUAACUCCGUGCCAGCAGCCGGGGUAAUACGGAGGAUCCGAGCGUUAUCCGGAUUUAUUGGGUUUAAAGGGAGCGUAGAUGGGUUGUUAAGUCAGUUGUGAAAGUUUGCGGCUCAACCGUAAAAUUGCAAUUGAUACUGGCAGCCUUGAGUACAGUUGAGGUAGGCGGAAUUCGUGGUGUAGCGGUGAAAUGCUUAGAUAUCACGAAGAACUCCGAUUGUGAAGGCAGCCUACUAAACUGCCACUGACAUUGAUGCUCGAAAGUGUGGGUAUCAAACAGGAUUAGAUACCCGAGUAGUC
Molecule: ribosomal RNA, 460 nt
Filed under: uncultured bacterium
Lineage: Bacteria
Description: partial 16S ribosomal RNA
Rfam family: Bacterial small subunit ribosomal RNA
Source: RNAcentral